Molecule: ribosomal RNA, 1184 nt
Filed under: Culicoides oxystoma
Lineage: Eukaryota; Metazoa; Arthropoda; Insecta; Diptera; Ceratopogonidae
Description: large subunit rRNA
Source: RNAcentral
UUUUUAAAAAAUUAUUAAUUUUAUUUUAAUUAAAAUAAUCUUAAUAAAAUUUUUUUUAGUAAUUUUUAAAGAAACAAUAAUUUUUAUGAUAGUUAAUUAGUAUUGAAAAAUAAAUUUGAAAUAUUUUGAAAAUAAUAAAUAAUAAAAUAAAUUUUAAUUAAAUGUAUUUUGUGUUUCAAAGUAUAUUAAAUAAAAAUUUUUUAAAAAAUUUUUUCGAAUUUAUAUGAUUUAAUAAAUUAAAAAAUUUAAUAUGGUAUAAUUAUUUUUAAUAAUUUAUUAGAAAUUAAAAGUUAAUCGUAUAUAAAUAUAUCUAAUUUUUUAAGAAAUAAUUUUAAAUUAUUUAUUUUAAAUUAUAUAUUUUAUUUUAUAAAAAUAUAAUUUUAAAAUAAUUAUAUAAUAAGGGAUAAGCUUUAUUAUAAAUUUUUAAAAAUUAAUAAGUAUAAAAAUAUUUUUAGGCUUAAAAAUAGUUUAAAAUAAUAAAAAUGUUAUAAUUUAUUUUUAUGAGUAUAUUAUUUAUUAAAAUUUUAAUUAUAUAUUAAAAAAUUUAUUUUAAUAAAAAUUUUAAAAUUAUAAUGAUAUAAUUAGUAAUUAAAUAUUUAAAUCAUAAAUUUAUAUAUUAAAUUAAAUAAAAAGAAUUCGGCAAAAAUUAUAUUCACUUGUUUAUCAAAAACAUGUCUUUUUGAUUUUAUAUAAAGUUUGGCCUGCCCGGUGAAAUUUUUAACGGCCGCGGUAUUUUGACCGUGCAAAGGUAGCAUAAUCAUUUGUCUUUUAAUUAAAGGCUUGUAUGAAUGGUUGGAUGAGAUAUAAUCUAUUUUUAUUUAAUUAAAAAUGAAUUUUAAUUUUUAGUAAAAAUGCUAAAAUAAAAAAUAUAGACGAGAAGACCCUAUAAAUCUUUAUUAUUUUUUUUAUUAAUUUAUUAAUAGAAUAUUAAAUUUAUUAGUAUAAAAAUAAUUUUAUUGGGGUGAUAAUGAAAUUUAAUAAACUUUUAUUUUAUUUUAUAAAUAUAAUUAAUUUAAUGAUCCAUUUUUAAUGAUUAUAAAAUUAAGUUACUUUAGGGAUAACAGCGUAAUUAUUUUAAAGAGUUCAUAUCGAUAAAAUAGUUUGCGACCUCGAUGUUGAAUUAAGAGUAAGUUUAGGUGUAGAAGUUUAAAUUUUAAGUCUGUUCGACUUUUGAAUUCUUACAU